GAGACAGCAGUCGCCGCGGUAAUACGAGGGGGGCAAGCGUUGUUCGGAAUUAUUGGGCGUAAAGCGUGCGCAGGCGGUUAUGUAAGACAGUUGUGAAAUCCCCGGGCUCAACCUGGGAACUGCAUCUGUGACUGCAUAGCUAGAGUACGGUAGAGGGGGAUGGAAUUCCGCGUGUAGCAGUGAAAUGCGUAGAUAUGCGGAGGAACACCGAUGGCGAAGGCAAUCCCCUGGACCUGUACUGACGCUCAUGCACGAAAGCGUGGGGAGCAAACAGGAUUAGAUACCCGCGUAGUCCCUGUCUCUUAUAC
This 308-nucleotide ribosomal RNA is filed under the name uncultured bacterium. Its description in RNAcentral is "partial 16S ribosomal RNA". It matches the Rfam family "Bacterial small subunit ribosomal RNA", at positions 505 to 807 of the family's 1533-position model. The record is from RNAcentral.